RNAcentral lists this ribosomal RNA (491 nucleotides) under uncultured bacterium. RNAcentral's name for it is "partial 16S ribosomal RNA". It matches the Rfam family "Bacterial small subunit ribosomal RNA", at positions 28 to 507 of the family's 1533-position model. The record is from RNAcentral.
GAUGAACGCUGGCUACAGGCUUAACACAUGCAAGUCGAGGGGAAACGACGGGUUAGCUUGCUUCCCCGGGCGUCGACCGGCGCACGGGUGAGUAACGCGUAUCCAACCUGCCUCUGACUGAGGGCUAACCCGUCGAAAGUCGGCCUAAUACCUCAUGGCAUCGUCUGCGGGCAUCCAACGACUAUUAAAGAUUUCAUCGGUCAUAGAUGGGGAUGCGUUUGAUUAGCUUGUUGGCGGUGUAACGGCCCACCAAGGCGACGAUCAGUAGGGGUUCUGAGGGGAAGGUCCCCCACAUUGGAACUGAGACCCGGUCCAAACGGCUACGGGAGGGAGUAGUAAGGAAUAGAGGUGAAGGGGCGAGAGCCUGAACCAGCCAAGUAGCGUGCAGGAUGACGGCGCUAUGGGUUGUAAACUGCUUUUAUGCGGGGAUAAAGUGAGGGACGUGUCCUUCAUUGAAGGUACCGGAUGAAUAAGGACCGGCUAAUUCCGUG